This 484-nucleotide ribosomal RNA is filed under the name uncultured bacterium. RNAcentral's name for it is "partial 16S ribosomal RNA". It matches the Rfam family "Bacterial small subunit ribosomal RNA", at positions 29 to 507 of the family's 1533-position model. The record is from RNAcentral.
AUUGAACGCUGGCGGCAUGCUUUACACAUGCAAGUCGAACGGCAGCGCGGGCUUCGGCCUGGCGGCGAGUGGCGAACGGGUGAGUAAUGCAUCGGAACGUGCCCAGUAGUGGGGGAUAGCCCGGCGAAAGCCGGAUUAAUACCGCAUACGACCUGAGGGUGAAAGCGGGGGACCGAAAGGCCUCGCGCUAUUGGAGCGGCCGAUGUCGGAUUAGCUAGUUGGUGGGGUAAAGGCUUACCAAGGCGAGGAUCCGUAGCUGGUCUGAGAGGACGACCAGCCACACUGGGACUGAGACACGGCCCAGACUCCUACGGGAGGGAGCAGUGGGGAAUUUUGGACAAUGGGGGCAAACCUGAUCCAGCCAUGCCGCGUGCGGGAAGAAGGCCUUCGGGUUGUAAACCGCUUUUGUUCGGGAAGAAAUCCUCUGGGCUAAUACCCCGGGGGGAUGACGGUACCGGAAGAAUAAGCACCGGCUAACUACGUG